CAGCAGUCGCCGCGGUAAUACGUAGGCAGCGAGCGUUGUUCGGAAUUACUGGGCGUAAAGAGUGUGUAGGCGGUGCUCUAAGUUUGGUGUGAAAUCUCCCGGCUUAACUGGGAGGGUGCGCCGAAGACUGGAGUGCUCGAACGUGGGAGAGGAAAGCGGAAUUCCUGGUGUAGCGGUGAAAUGCGUAGAUAUCAGGAGGAACACCUGCGGUGUAGACGGCUUUCUGGACCAUUGUUGACGCUGAGACACGAAAGCGUGGGUAGCAAACAGGAUUAGAUACCCCAGUAGUCCCUGUCUCUUAUAC
RNAcentral lists this ribosomal RNA (304 nucleotides) under uncultured bacterium. RNAcentral describes it as "partial 16S ribosomal RNA". It matches the Rfam family "Bacterial small subunit ribosomal RNA", at positions 509 to 807 of the family's 1533-position model. The record is from RNAcentral.